UACGUAGGGUGCGAGCGUUAAUCGGAAUUACUGGGCGUAAAGCGUGCGCAGGCGGUUUUGUAAGCCAGAUGUGAAAUCCCCGGGCUUAACGUGGGAAUGGCAUUUGGGACUGCAAGGCUGGAGUGUGGCAGAGGAGACUGGAAUUCCCGGUGUAGCAGUGAAAUGCGUAGAUAUCGGGAGGAAUACCGAUGGCGAAGGCAGGUCUCUGGGCUGACACUGACGCUCAUGCACGAAAGCGUGGGGAGCAAACAGG
RNAcentral lists this ribosomal RNA (253 nucleotides) under uncultured bacterium. RNAcentral describes it as "partial 16S ribosomal RNA". It matches the Rfam family "Bacterial small subunit ribosomal RNA", at positions 524 to 776 of the family's 1533-position model. The record is from RNAcentral.